AUCUUUUAAAAAGAUUAGCUGUCCCCUUGACAAGGUUGGAAGAGGCCCUCAGCCUAAUAACACAAUAAGGGCAUUGCCACUACAUUGUGGCAUGAAAAAUUAUUA
RNAcentral lists this non-coding RNA (105 nucleotides) under Octodon degus (degu). Lineage: Eukaryota; Metazoa; Chordata; Mammalia; Rodentia; Octodontidae. The record is from RNAcentral.